Molecule: RNA transcript, 5052 nt
Organism: Ruditapes philippinarum (Manila clam)
Lineage: Eukaryota; Metazoa; Mollusca; Bivalvia; Venerida; Veneridae
Exons: 13
Source: RefSeq, a predicted model, not a curated record
CACAUUUUAUUUCAUAUUUAGGUUAAUUCUUUUCUGGUGAAUAACAGCGGAUUGACUUUUUUCUCGGCUAAACAUGUUAACUGGUCCUUCGAGGUAGAAGAGAAAACGGUGCAUAAUGGCACCAUGCAUGAGACAAGUAUAAGUGUUGGAAAAAAGGAUGAAAAUUAUACGAAUAAAUAUGAAGAUGACUCCUUAUCAGUCAAUGAUCUGUGUCAAUGGAAUGGUAUAAAGAGUGUUGAAGGUUCAGUUGAAAACAAAGAAAGUCAAAAUGGUAUAAACAAUUCAACACCAAAUGAAAAUACUCCUGUCAAAACCAAACCGUUGGCGACAAGGCAUAGUGAUAAGGUCAAUGCAAACUUGCAUAUCAAAACCGAGUCUGUGGAUGGUGAAAAGGAGAGAUUUCAGUUUGAAAUGAAAGACACAUGUCCUAUGGAUAAUGUUAAAAAUGACAAAAGUAUAGCAGAACACCGUUCUAACUCAGAAAAUCCAAGCAACUUGAGCACUGGAGAGGCAGGAAAACAGUCAAAGCAAAUGACUUCAAACAAACAACAGGGUCAAGCAAAACAAAGAAGCAGAUGUAUUACAAACAGCAAGGGAGAAGCAUAUUAUGAGACUUGUGAAAAACAACAGAAUGCCAAGACUUUUGCUGUCAUAUUCGGAUGCUUUUUUAGAAUGAAAACAUCUAGAAAGGCUUUCUUAAUGCUGCUGUUGAUAGUGAGUGGACUAUGUCCGGCAUCGCCUGUCGCUAUAAAUCAUGACCCGAAAUCGCAACACUUUGAAGAAUACCGACUUCUAUUAACCUCCCAAUGUAACGACAAGGACUUGAUUAGAUCAGAGUCAUGCCACAAGAACGAAAUAUCACGGAAAACUUACAUCGAUUUUUGCCGUUUUGAGGACCUUUGUGACAAUGAUUCUGAACCGACUUGUGUCGACGGCGAAAGUGGUGGAAUGCUUCAUAUAUGCUCCCCGAAAAACCUUACUUGUCCAAAAGGUUAUAGAAGGAAUGCAUGGCUUGAUAAUGAUACCGAUGUAGUUCAUGUGAGUGAGGAAAAAUGCCCACGUGGGAGAUACCAGCCAACAGAAUCAAAUUGUUACGGCUCGUGCAUGAAUAAACAUUGGGAUUUGCAAGAUCUGCCAGAACAAUUUGUCUUAUAUUCUGUGGGUGACAAUAUAUCACCGACUUGGAUCUAUUGCGAUUUUGAGAAAGGGUUUUACAACAUGGAUGGGAAAUUUCUACUUGCAUAUGAUGAUCAUUUUGUGCACUAUCCUUUUUUCUGUACUAGCGUUUCCGAUAUCAACCCAUGUUCUAAUGGAGAAUAUCCGCUUCCAAACAGUACAUGUAUUGGUUCUUGCAUGGAAGGCCUUAAACGAGAUGCCCACGACGGAUUCAAGUGCACCAAAAGUUGGAAUGGAACCUUUGCCAUCACACAGAGUGGAUCUUCUAGUGAAAAGGCAAACCAGCAAACAACAACCACGACAAACUCUACAACCACAGGGCCAGUCGAAAAUACCGUGGCACAUGAGAGAGAACAUCAUCAACCAAAUGAUGAGAAAGGUCUCGCUACACAUUUGAAUAAUAUGAUUUUUGCAGGUAAAGAUUAUGAAUCUAAAAGUUUUUAUUUGCGUUAUUGUGGUUAUUGUUAUGAUAAUUGGUUUAGUUGUCUGUUUUCUGAAACACAAGAAAAACGGAAGAAAAAGCAUCACCCUGACAAGAAACAAGAAAACAGAAAAUAAGACCGUAAUUGAAAAUGUUGAAAGUGUCAAUAUUUACCAAGGGAUACCCGAGAGAGGAAAUAACGCACCGAUUGAGAUGCAACGUUUUCUCCAAAGAGCAGCAGAAGGAGAAGAAGAUGAAGGACUAGAAGAUGUGUGAUGUUUUUACUUGUUUUGGAAAGACAAUUUUGUGACAUCCGUUCAUGACAUUAUAAUUCUGAACUUUUUUUCAUCGUAAAAAUUUCAUGGAUUGAAAAUUGAUGUGAGAUAAAUGGAUAUUAACACAGCGUGUUUUCAUUACCCUGCUUAUACCGAAUAAAGUAAACACUAUACGAAUGUUAUUGACCACGCAAUAAUCAUUGUAUUUAUGUUUUAAGUUUUUAAAUCUGUACACAACGUCGUUGAAUUGAAAAGGUAUUGGUUGAACUUAUUACUGCAUUUAAAAAAGCAAAAGAAAAAAAGAAAAAAAAGGAAUUCUGGAGUUAGAAGUAUCUAUUUAUUGUGCUAUAUGCGAUACUUAUCCUUGAUAUUUACCUGAAUCUUAUUCGCUUUUGCGUUUCGAUUAAAAAAAGUUUGAUUGUUAUAAAGUUCUUGUUUUCAUCGUUAUCUUUUGGUCAUUUUACUUGCAAUGUGAAAUGUCGAUUAAUAUCGAGAUGGUCAUGUUGUGAAUAACAGAAACAGAUGCUAAAUAGGGAUACAUUCGGAAAAUAUUAUUUCGGAGUUGAUGAUGAUAUAUAUCCCGGAUUACUUUUAGAAGAAAAUUAUUCUGUUUGGAAUCUAGAUACAUGGACGUGGAGGCAAGGAAAAUGUCUAAAAUACCAAUUUUGUUAAUUGUUCCACUACACUUUUAUUAUGAACACUAAUUACGUGUUUAUAAUGAUUGAAUACAUGUCUUUUGUUUUGAUGUUAGAGCUUUAUGUUACAAAAGAAAUCAUGUUCAUAAGCAAUUAAGAAAAAUGAUUUUUGAAUGAAAUAAUAUUGCAAAUAUAUUAUAGCUACACUUAAUUAAGAAGUUAUUUAAAGCUGCAUGCCUCAAGAUGAGCUGCCAAAAGAUAUUGAGAGAAGUAAAACGAUGACAAAUUCUUGAAUAAUUUACAUGCGAUAUGCAUUAUAUGACUGAUUUCGAAGUACGUGUAUUUACCACCAUAUUUCUACUGCGUGACUAUUACAGUAAGGGCUAUAUUUUUGUAUCUUUGGACUUCUUUUUAGUUAUUUUAGUGGGUUGUUAUUACCGUUUACAAUCUAUUCAUCACUACCCUUGUUCACUGCACAAUAUUUCGUUUUUAAAUAAAAAAUUAUUCAAAAUUUUCAUAAAAAUGAGCACAAAUCUUGAGGCAUGCUUCUUUAAUUAUGCUUGGUAGUUAUAGUCCAACUUGGCAGAUGUAUGUGUUAUGUGUUGUGUACAUUUCAAUAUUCUGUCUAUAUAUGUAACGUUUUAAUUAUCUACUUGUUUUUAAAAGUAUGCCAAUACUUGUAUUAGAAUUAGAUUCAGUAAUCAAAGUUUUUGUUCGAUAAAUAGGCACUGAUGUCGUUUAUUUCAUAUGAAAUUAUAUCAAAAUCAUUUCAGUAGUUGACAAUUUUAGAUAACACAUAUUUUUUCCAUCAUGUGUAGACAUACAAAACUUGUCAGAUAACUUGUAAGUUCUGUUUAGUAAAGUUCAUAUCUAACGUACACACUGAAUUGGGUUCUAUGAUCAUUCACGUACAUAUUACUAAAAAAUAAAUCAAUCUUUUUAGUUGUGUUAAUAUUACUAAAAAGUAAAUAAAUCGUUUAAGUUGUGUAAAUAUUACUUAAAAGUAAAUAAAUUGUUUUAGUUGCCUAAGUGCAAUAUUUUUCAUUUUGAAAUUCACAAACUGCUGUCUAGCAAAUUUUAAAAGUUUGAUGAAGUUCUUGAAAUGAUUAACCAAUCUAUUUCAAACUUCACUGAGCACACACUACUGAAAUAUGCGACAUGUUCCCAAUAUAGCAAUCGUCAGAUAAAAAGAAAAGAAGAAACAUUAUUUGUCUGGUGCUAUAUCUAGAAAGUGGCUGGGUAAUGACAGAGUCAAAAAUAUGUUAUUGAAUAAAUACAGUUGUCUACGGUGCAUAUUAUUAGAACCAAUCUAUAAAAAAUAGUUAAAGUUCCACGUGACUCUAAAAAUACAACCUACACGUUGUCUUUAAAAGCAAAAGUGCUCUUUGGUGUGACCCGUGAAGUGACAUACAUGUACGUGUAAAUUGAUAAGCAACAUUUUUACCAUUUUCGCGGUAAAUAUCUUAAUAAAACUAUCCUUAUAGGAAAAUAAUACAAUAUAAAUACUGACUGAAUAUCAAGUUAAGACGACACGGUCGCAUGUUCGCAUGUCUCAUAUUAAAGAUACUUUUACCUCGUAAAUUGGAUUGAUUUACCUUGAUUGACAAGAAAUUAGUUGCCUUGGGAAGAUUACAAAUAUCGAUUUUGUUAUUGUAACAUUUUACAGUAUUUCCUAUCAAUACCAGGCUGUUGAUGUCAGUGCGUAAAUUUUGAUUGAUUGUUAUCAAUUCUACAUGCAAUUGUUAAAACUGUUCAUAAACAAUAUGUGCUCAUAUGUCAUGAACACUUUUUUUGUAUUUCUCUGUCGCUACUCCUUCAAUAUUUCCACAUUUCUUAGCGACUGUUUUCCUUUUCAUUUACCCGAUCGUCUUUGCACAUGUCACUCUGUCCGUCUUUUGUUCCUACCUUUGGUUUUUAUUUUUGACCCCGUCAUCCCGGUGGUUAACUGCUAUGCGUUUUUUCCCUUUCUUGGAUUUAAAAAUAGAAUGUAUAUGGAUAUAUACUAUAUAUAGCCUAUAUUGAAAAUAUUUUGAAAAUAUUUCACAUGAAUAUAUUUCAAGUAAUAUAUAAGGUAAAAGUAAUAUAAAUAAAGUAAUAAAAAUGUUAAGAAAAAUCAUAAUUCAAUAUUUUACAAUAAUUUAAAUUUCAAUCAAUGUACCUAAUUUAGGUAAAAGGUAAAUAUAGUAGUGUGUGGGAUUUUCCAUGGCUAUAUUUAGUUUACAACGCAAUACUAUGCGAGUAUAUAAACCCGAUAGCUUAAAAUAACAAUUUUAAGAGUACAUCGACAUUACAUGGACUAUCUCUUAUUUUAUUCAGUGGAGCUGAAAAUAGGUUUAAAUAAUAUACCCAUCUAUAAACACGUACUUUAAAUCGCUAUAAAUUAAAUCAAAACCAAUACGUUAUAAAAAACGAUCGCCUACAUUGAGAAAAUGUUGCAAGAAAAAGAUAUUUUAGAUCAUUUUAUGAACGAGAAAGGUAACCUAUCUUCGACACAUGGAAGACAGGAACCAUCACACGACGAGGAAACUGACCAAGUUCCAGGUAA